CUCUCUGUAGCUCAGUUGGUUAGGGCGCUGCACCGGAAUCGCAGGGUUGCAGGUUCAAUAAGAAUUCCUGCCAGAGGGC
Paramuricea clavata is the source of this 79-nucleotide non-coding RNA. The record is from the annotation of a GenBank genome assembly. NCBI's taxonomy places the organism in Eukaryota, Metazoa, Cnidaria, Anthozoa, Malacalcyonacea, Plexauridae.